GCUCCCGUAGUAUAGCCCGGUUAAGUAUGCCGGGUUUUCGACCCGGAGACCCGAGUUCGAAUCUCGGCGGGAGCG
This 75-nucleotide transfer RNA is filed under the name Candidatus Aenigmatarchaeota archaeon. Its description in RNAcentral is "tRNA-Glu". It matches the Rfam family "tRNA". From Rfam's summary of the family: Transfer RNA (tRNA) molecules are approximately 80 nucleotides in length. Their secondary structure includes four short double-helical elements and three loops (D, anti-codon, and T loops). The record is from RNAcentral. Lineage: Archaea; Nanobdellati; Candidatus Aenigmatarchaeota.